Gossypium raimondii (Peruvian cotton) is the source of this 107-nucleotide non-coding RNA. NCBI's taxonomy places the organism in Eukaryota, Viridiplantae, Streptophyta, Magnoliopsida, Malvales, Malvaceae. The record is from Rfam.
AGUCUGUGAUGUGGGCAUCUCUGGAUUAGCAUUUUAAAACACUCCCAAGCUUCAUGAAAACUUUCUCCCUCUAAUUGUUUGAAAGUUGCGAUCUCCCUCCUUAGUUA